GAGUAUGAGCGUGAGUUAGUCAGACUAAGCCGGUAUGGGAGGGAGAUAGUUCCUACAAAGGCAGAGGUGCAGACGGUUUGAAGAAGGGCUCAAUGACAAUAUCAAAAUCAUGAUCACAGCACUGGAGAUCACGAAUUUUGCUAAACUGGAAGAUGCAGCAUCAAAAGUGUAAAGGGUCAGAAUCAAUGAACAAAAUAGAAGAGAAAGACAGCAGAAAAGGGGUCUGAGUCAGUCCAGUACAUUUUCUGCUCCCAGCA
RNAcentral lists this unclassified non-coding RNA (257 nucleotides) under Hevea brasiliensis (rubber tree). Lineage: Eukaryota; Viridiplantae; Streptophyta; Magnoliopsida; Malpighiales; Euphorbiaceae. The record is from RNAcentral.